RNAcentral lists this ribosomal RNA (304 nucleotides) under uncultured bacterium. RNAcentral describes it as "bacterial SSU rRNA". It matches the Rfam family "Bacterial small subunit ribosomal RNA", at positions 495 to 793 of the family's 1533-position model. The record is from RNAcentral.
GGCUAACUCCGUGCCAGCAGCCGCGGUAAUACGGAGGGUGCGAGCGUUAAUCGGAAUUACUGGGCGUAAAGCGCAUGCAGGCGGCCUGUUAAGUCAGAUGUGAAAGACCCGGGGCGUUAACCUCGGAAUUGCAUUUGAAACUGGCAGGCUAGAGUCUUGUAGAGGGGGGUAGGAAUUUCAGGUGUAGCGGUGAAAUAGCGUAGAGAUCUGAAGGAAUACCAGUGGCGAAGGCGGCCCCCCUGGACAAAGACUGACGCUCAGAUGCGAAAGCGUGGGGAGCAAACAGGAUUAGAUACCCUGGUAG